UUGAAACAUUGCGAAGGAGGUUGAGCUGGCUACUCGCAAGUGCUUGCCUCCUUUCAAUCUCUUCAUCCACCUGUGCACCUUAUGUAGGGGGAUUUUGUGGGUUUUACUACCUGUGACUUCUCUCUAUGUCUUUACACACUCUUUAAUGUAUGUCUAUGAAUGUUAUCUAGGGACUUUAUUGACCCUAUAAAAAGUUAUA
RNAcentral lists this unclassified non-coding RNA (199 nucleotides) under uncultured fungus. RNAcentral describes it as "sequence contains ITS1, 5.8S rRNA gene". Lineage: Eukaryota; Fungi. The record is from RNAcentral.